This 518-nucleotide ribosomal RNA is filed under the name uncultured bacterium. RNAcentral describes it as "bacterial SSU rRNA". It matches the Rfam family "Bacterial small subunit ribosomal RNA", at positions 18 to 518 of the family's 1533-position model. The record is from RNAcentral.
CCUGGCUUAGAUUGAACGCUGGCGGCGUGCUUAACACAUGCAAGUCGAACGCGAAAGGGGACUUCGGUCCUGAGUAAAGUGGCGCACGGGUGAGUAACGCGUGGAUAAUCUGCCCUUAUGAUCGGGAUAACAGUUGGAAACGGCUGCUAAUACCGGAUACGCUCAAAAUGAACUUUUUGAGGAAAGAUGGCCUCUGCUUGCAUGCUAUCACGUAAGGAUGAGUCCGCGUCCCAUUAGCUUGUUGGCGGGUAACGGCCCACCAAGGCAACGAUGGGUAGCCGAUUUGAGAGGAUGAUCGGCCACACUGGAACUGAAACACGGUCCAGACUCCUACGGGAGGCAGCAGUGGGGAAUAUUGCGCAAUGGGCGAAAGCCUGACGCAGCGACGCCGCGUGAGGGAUGAAAGGUUUUCGGAUCGUAAACCUCUGUCAGAAGGGAAGAAACUACGUUGUGCUAAUCAGCAGCGUACUGACGGUACCUUCAAAGGAAGCACCGGCUAACUCCGUGCCAGCAGCAGC